AACGAACGCUGGCGGCAGGCUUAACACAUGCAAGUCGAGCGCCCCGCAAGGGGAGCGGCAGACGGGUGAGUAACGCGUGGGAAUCUACCCAUCUCUGCGGAAUAGCUCUGGGAAACUGGAAUUAAUACCGCAUACGCCCUACGGGGGAAAGAUUUAUCGGGGAUGGAUGAGCCCGCGUUGGAUUAGCUAGUUGGUGGGGUAAAGGCCUACCAAGGCGACGAUCCAUAGCUGGUCUGAGAGGAUGAUCAGCCACAUUGGGACUGAGACACGGCCCAAACUCCUACGGGAGGCAGCAGUGGGGAAUAUUGGACAAUGGGCGCAAGCCUGAUCCAGCCAUGCCGCGUGAGUGAUGAAGGCCUUAGGGUUGUAAAGCUCUUUCACCGAUGAAGAUAAUGACGGUAGUCGGAGAAGAAGCCCCGGCUAACUUCGUGCCAGCAGCCGCGGUAA
Molecule: ribosomal RNA, 447 nt
Filed under: uncultured bacterium
Lineage: Bacteria
Description: partial 16S ribosomal RNA
Rfam family: Bacterial small subunit ribosomal RNA
Source: RNAcentral